CAAUAGCGUAUAUUUAAGUUGUUGCAGUUAAAAAGCUCGUAGUUGGAUUUCUGCUGAUCGCUGUCGGUCUGCCGUCAGGUGUGUACUGGCAGUGUUUGGCAUCUAUUCGAGAUUGGGUGUCCACUUGAUUGUGUGCACUCGAUGUCGGAGCUAAUACUUUGAGAAAAUUAGAGUGUUCCACGCAGGCGCGUGCCUUGAAUACUGCAGCAUGGGAUAUUGGAAGGCCGAUUGAGCUUUCUUGUUGGUUCUCGGUUUGAUCGGAAUGAUUAAUAGGGAUAGUUGGGGGCAUUCGUAUUCAACUGUCAGAGGUGAAAUUCUUGGAUUUGUUGAGGACGGACUACUGCGAAAGCAUCUGCCAUGGAUGUUCUCAUUGA
RNAcentral lists this ribosomal RNA (374 nucleotides) under uncultured eukaryote. RNAcentral describes it as "partial 18S ribosomal RNA". It matches the Rfam family "Eukaryotic small subunit ribosomal RNA", at positions 592 to 976 of the family's 1831-position model. The record is from RNAcentral.